CCUACGGGAGGCAGCAGUGAGGAAUAUUGGUCAAUGGUCGGGAGACUGAACCAGCCAAGCCGCGUGAGGGAUGAAGGUACAGAGUAUCGUAAACCUCUUUUGUCAGGGAACAAAGGCGGGGACGUGUCCCCGGAUGAGUGUACCUGAAGAAAAAGCAUCGGCUAACUCCGUGCCAGCAGCCGCGGUAAUACGGAGGAUGCGAGCGUUAUCCGGAUUUAUUGGGGUAAAAGGGUGCGCAGGCGGUCUGUUAAGUCAGCGGUAAAAGCCCGGGGCUCAACCCCGGCCCGCCGUUGAAACUGGCAGUCUCGAGUUGGAGAGAAGUAUGCGGAAUGCGCGGUGUAGCGGUGAAAUGCAUAGAUAUCGCGCAGAACUCCGAUUGCGAAGGCGGCAUGCCGGCUCCACACUGACGCUGAGGCACGAAAGCGUGGGUAUCGAACAGGAUUAGAUACCCCUGUAGUC
RNAcentral lists this ribosomal RNA (459 nucleotides) under uncultured bacterium. RNAcentral's name for it is "partial 16S ribosomal RNA". It matches the Rfam family "Bacterial small subunit ribosomal RNA", at positions 338 to 795 of the family's 1533-position model. The record is from RNAcentral.